CAGUGCAUCUGGACUUGGUUCAAGUGGCACCAGCCAAAUCCCUGCCUUACUGACCUCUCCCCUGGAGGAGCAGGAGCAGCGCUCAAGGCCGCCCUGGGAGGGCUGAGAGGCAGGCUCUGGACUGGGGACACAGGGAUAGCUGAGCCCCAGCUGGGGGUGGAAGCUGAGCCAGGGACAGUCACAGAGGAACAAGAUCAAGAUGCGCUUUAACUGAGAAGCCCCCAAGGCAGAGGCUGAGAAUCAGAAGACAUUUCAGCAGACAUCUACAAAUCUGAAGGACAAAACAUGGUUCAAGCAUCUGGGCACAGGCGCUCGGGCCACUGUAUCAGGUCCACCCGUGGCUCCAAAAUGGUCUCCUGGUCCGUGAUAGCAAAGAUCCA
This 380-nucleotide long non-coding RNA is filed under the name Homo sapiens (human). Its description in RNAcentral is "HSALNT0352447". The record is from RNAcentral. Lineage: Eukaryota; Metazoa; Chordata; Mammalia; Primates; Hominidae.